RNAcentral lists this ribosomal RNA (620 nucleotides) under uncultured bacterium. RNAcentral's name for it is "bacterial SSU rRNA". It matches the Rfam family "Bacterial small subunit ribosomal RNA", at positions 28 to 694 of the family's 1533-position model. The record is from RNAcentral.
AGCGAACGCUGGCGGCAGGCCUAACACAUGCAAGUCGAACGGAUCCUUCGGGAUUAGUGGCGGACGGGUGAGUAACACGUGGGAACGUGCCCUUUGGUUCGGAACAACUCAGGGAAACUUGAGCUAAUACCGGAUGUGCCCUUCGGGGGAAAGAUUUAUCGCCAUUGGAGCGGCCCGCGUCUGAUUAGCUAGUUGGUGAGGUAAAGGCUCACCAAGGCGACGAUCAGUAGCUGGUCUGAGAGGAUGAUCAGCCACAUUGGGACUGAGACACGGCCCAAACUCCUACGGGAGGCAGCAGUGGGGAAUCUUGCGCAAUGGGCGAAAGCCUGACGCAGCCAUGCCGCGUGAAUGAUGAAGGUCUUAGGAUUGUAAAAUUCUUUCAGCAGGGACGAUAAUGACGGUAUCUGCAGAAGAAGCCCCGGCUAACUUCGUGCCAGCAGCCGCGGUAAUACGAAGGGGGCUAGCGUUGCUCGGAAUUACUGGGCGUAAAGGGCGCGUAGGCGGGUCGUUUAGUUAGAGGUGAAAGCCCAGGGCUCAACCCUGGAAUUGCCUUUAAUACUGGCGGCCUUGAGUAUGGCAGAGGUGUGUGGAACUCCGAGUGUAGAGGUGAAAUUCGUAGA